This is a long non-coding RNA of Vicia villosa (hairy vetch), 373 nucleotides long. RefSeq lists it as uncharacterized. The record is from RefSeq and is a predicted model, not a curated record. The transcript is spliced from 3 exons. NCBI's taxonomy places the organism in Eukaryota, Viridiplantae, Streptophyta, Magnoliopsida, Fabales, Fabaceae.
ACCGUAUUUUGUGAAUCACUUUCGAAGAUAACAUUCUCCAACCAAAACUCAAUAGCAUUCUGGAUAGCUUCUUUGAGUGCCAACGCUCCAACAUGAACAAAAUUCCUCAAAUGCAUUUCCUUCGGUUAGUGCAUUUGCAACCAAAACAAUUGAUUCUUGGAGUACAGAAAAAUCGUAACCAACAUCAAAGCUUUCCAAAUUCACCUCAUUUCGGGCAACAUGGUCAUCAAUAUCUUGAAUAGUUUCGACAAAGUCUUCAUUGGUGACCGAUGACUUUUGUUUUCUUGUCUCUUUUAAAGUUCCAGAUUCCUCUCCAUCCGCUCGGUUAGGUCCAUAAAGUAUCACCAUCUUCUCAUAAUUUGGAAGUGGUACA